GACGAACGCUGGCGGCGUGCUUAACACAUGCAAGUCGAACGGAAAGGCCCUGCUUUUGUGGGGUGCUCGAGUGGCGAACGGGUGAGUAACACGUGAGUAACCUGCCCUUGACUUUGGGAUAACUUCAGGAAACUGGGGCUAAUACCGGAUAGGAGCUCCUGCUGCAUGGUGGGGGUUGGAAAGUUUCGGCGGUUGGGGAUGGACUCGCGGCUUAUCAGCUUGUUGGUGGGGUAGUGGCUUACCAAGGCUUUGACGGGUAGCCGGCCUGAGAGGGUGACCGGCCACAUUGGGACUGAGAUACGGCCCAGAAUCCUACGGGAGGCAGCAGUGGGGAAUAUUGCACAAUGGGCGGAAGCCUGAUGCAGCAACGCUCCGUGCGGGAUGCUGGGCUUCGGGUGGUAAACCGCUUUCUACGGUGCCGAAGCGUGAGUGACGGUAAUGGGUAAAGAAGCCCCGGCUAACUACGUG
This 468-nucleotide ribosomal RNA is filed under the name uncultured bacterium. Its description in RNAcentral is "partial 16S ribosomal RNA". It matches the Rfam family "Bacterial small subunit ribosomal RNA", at positions 28 to 507 of the family's 1533-position model. The record is from RNAcentral.